This 358-nucleotide transfer RNA is filed under the name uncultured Microcystis sp. Its description in RNAcentral is "partial 16S-23S ribosomal RNA intergenic spacer". The stretch from base 134 to 207 matches the Rfam family "tRNA". Lineage: Bacteria; Bacillati; Cyanobacteriota; Cyanophyceae; Chroococcales; Microcystaceae. The record is from RNAcentral.
AGGGAGACCUAAUUCGGGUAUAAGACGAAAAAAUAGUAGUCGAAACCAAGAAUCAAUCCCAAAAGGUCGGAGCGAGGCGAAAUUGGCUUUCAAACUAGGUUCUGGGUUCACAGAAGACCUGAAUCAGGAACAAGGGCUAUUAGCUCAGGUGGUUAGAGCGCACCCCUGAUAAGGGUGAGGUCCCUGGUUCGAGUCCAGGAUGGCCCACCUGCACAGGUGGUAAAAACAAGAGAAGCGAGGAAUCAGCACCUUAUCUUACUUACAUAGUAAGAGAGAAUGCUGGCUCUGAGUAAAGAGUCCAGAGGAACCUUGAAAACUGCAUAGAGCUAGGUGAAAAAGCCAAAAAAGAAGACCGCAA